CACUAAAAGUGCAAUUUUCACAUGCCUUUGUCAGGCUUGUCCUGUUCAGCCCCCUAGGCCAAUUGCCUACUGAACACUGAGGAAUCUUUUAUUUUCCUAUUCAUUCCCUGAGAACAAGAAGACGGCUUUGAUCAUUAUUAACACAUUUGUAGGCAUACUCAUAUAUCAGGAAGAGCUGUAAAUUGUAUCUCAGCUAUUAAAACCAAGCCAAGACACAAUAUUUCCUGAACAGAGUGUACUGCUUAGGGAACAUCUGCCUUCAGAGUGUCACUGUUUGCGUUGUUUUGGACUAAAGGUGCUGAUGCUGGCAGUGUUAUCACAACAAGGCCUGGCUGAAUAGCUGCAAUAGCAGGUAAAUAGGACAAAG
Molecule: non-coding RNA, 367 nt
Organism: Pelobates cultripes (western spadefoot toad)
Lineage: Eukaryota; Metazoa; Chordata; Amphibia; Anura; Pelobatidae
Source: the annotation of a GenBank genome assembly